Long non-coding RNA from Anarrhichthys ocellatus (wolf-eel), 805 nucleotides. RefSeq lists it as uncharacterized. The transcript is spliced from 3 exons. The record is from RefSeq and is a predicted model, not a curated record. Lineage: Eukaryota; Metazoa; Chordata; Actinopteri; Perciformes; Anarhichadidae.
CGUCACUUCCGGGAUGUAUGUGAGAGCAAAAUGACAGCCGGUUAGAUUUCAUCAAUAAGGGAAUUAAAAGUAGACAUCACAGUGUCAUGUGGUGAGCAGACCUCCCAGUCCUCCCUCAGCUGGUCUGGUCUGUUCACAGCACACUGGGCUGAAGAGGGACCAGCGUCUUUCUUCUGGAGACAUCUGACAGCCAACCAGCCACUCUGGAGCCGUCAGUACAAUCACAGGAGAAGACUGUUGAUAGCGGUCCAGUGCGGGUCUCCUCAGGUGAGACGCUUCCUAAAACAUAUCAGAGCCAAGAGGAACGUGACUUCAUGUCCUGCAGGACUGUGGAUCAAUGUCUACAAUAACACUUUAAACCAGAGAUGUGAAAGUUUCCUUCAAAUGUAUAAUCCAGCAGCGAUCAGUCGACUAGCAGGGCCGGACUCAACAAUAGAAGAGUGAACUGUGACACAUUUCUUUUAUGCUUAAACACAAUAUACUGCAGAUUAUUUUUGUCCAAUAAGAUAAUGUAACGGGAUCAUUUAUUAUUUUAUUUAAGCUAAACCACUACAUAAUUCAUGUUUCCCUGCAGCAGAUUCCACAGCCAGGCUCCACCCACCAAGCGUUCAAACACACACGGAUCCUCGUUUCAUCUACAGAAACAUAAGCGAUGAGUAGAAGAAGAAGUUCAACAUGAACGUCGUGUUUCUGGCUUUAAAGAGGACGACAACUAGCUGAAGACGCCUCCUCGUGUUCCUCCAUGUUCACUAUCAUCCUCUUCAAUCAUCAAUGAUCAGUUAUUAAUAGGAUCUGUAUCUGAUGA